GCGUUGGGUGCCAUGGUGUGGCAAAUGGGCUGAGGGGCUAGGGUGUCCUCAGUGGGGGACCGUUGUCCAGAAACAGGCCCCCGACAGCUGCUCGCGGGAGCCGCCUCCCGACACCCGAGCCCCGCCGGCGCCUCGCGCUCCCGGCUCCCGGCUCCCUCCGCCUACCCCGCCCCUCGCCCCGCCGCCGAAGAGGCCCCGCUCCCGGGUCGGACGCCUGGGUCUGCCGGGAAGAGCGAUGA
RNAcentral lists this small RNA (239 nucleotides) under Pongo abelii (Sumatran orangutan). RNAcentral describes it as "processed transcript". Lineage: Eukaryota; Metazoa; Chordata; Mammalia; Primates; Hominidae. The record is from RNAcentral.